Molecule: ribosomal RNA, 406 nt
Filed under: uncultured Desulfocapsa sp.
Lineage: Bacteria; Pseudomonadati; Thermodesulfobacteriota; Desulfobulbia; Desulfobulbales; Desulfocapsaceae
Description: bacterial SSU rRNA
Rfam family: Bacterial small subunit ribosomal RNA
Source: RNAcentral
UACCCUUGACAUGUCCGGAACUUGCCAGAGAUGGCUUGGUGCCGAAAGGGAAUCGGAACACAGGUGCUGCAUGGCUGUCGUCAGCUCGUGUCGUGAGAUGUUGGGUUAAGUCCCGCAACGAGCGCAAUCCUUAUCUUUAGUUGCCAUCAUUGAUUGGGCACUCUAAAGAGACUGCCGGUGUCAAACCGGGAGGAAGGUGGGGAUGACGUCAAGUCCUCAUGGCCUUUAUGACCAGGGCUACACACGUACUACAAUGGCCGGUACAAAGGGCAGCGACACAGCGAUGUGAAGCGAAUCCCGAAAAGCCGGUCUCAGUCCGGAUUGGAGUCUGCAACUCGACUCCAUGAAGUUGGAAUCGCUAGUAAUCGCGGAUCAGCACGCCGCGGUGAAUACGUUCCCGGGCCUU